This 350-nucleotide RNase P RNA is filed under the name Lachnospiraceae bacterium. Its description in RNAcentral is "RNase P RNA component class A". It matches the Rfam family "Bacterial RNase P class A". From Rfam's summary of the family: Ribonuclease P (RNase P) is a ubiquitous endoribonuclease, found in archaea, bacteria and eukarya as well as chloroplasts and mitochondria. Its best characterised activity is the generation of mature 5'-ends of tRNAs by cleaving the 5'-leader elements of precursor-tRNAs. Cellular RNase Ps are ribonucleoproteins. Lineage: Bacteria; Bacillati; Bacillota; Clostridia; Lachnospirales; Lachnospiraceae. The record is from RNAcentral.
UAAGUAGGACAAAUGAUCGCGGCUGCAUCGCCGAAAGGCCGCAGACGAGGAAAGUCCGGGCUUCAUAGGGCAGGAUGCCGGAUAACGUCCGGUGGAGGUGACUCCAAGGCCAGUGCAACAGAAAUAUACCGCCGGCUUUUGCCGGUAAGGGUGGAAAGGCAGCUUAAGAGACUACCGCCCUGUUGGUAACAACAGGGGCACAUGUAAACCCCAUCCGAAGCAAGACCAAAACGAGAACGAUACAGUUGCCCGCUGUGUUUUCGGGUAGGUCGCUCGAACCUGUCGGUAACGGCAGGUCUAGAUAGAUGAUCAUUCAACGACAUAACCCGGCUUAUCGUCCUGCUUACUUU